RNAcentral lists this transfer RNA (67 nucleotides) under Crassicauda sp. Ningbo-2019. RNAcentral's name for it is "tRNA-Lys". The record is from RNAcentral. Lineage: Eukaryota; Metazoa; Nematoda; Chromadorea; Rhabditida; Tetrameridae.
GGAAGUAUUAUUUUAAUUAAAAAUAUCUGACUCUUAAUCAGAAGAUGUAAAUAUUUUAAUUUUUUUU